CUUUUCAACAACGGAUCUCUUGGUUCCAGCAUCGAUGAAGAACGCAGCGAAAUGCGAUAAGUAAUGUGAAUUGCAGAAUUCAGUGAAUCAUCGAAUCUUUGAACGCACAUUGCGCCCCCUGGUAUUCCGGGGGG
This 134-nucleotide ribosomal RNA is filed under the name Mycoblastus sanguinarius. RNAcentral describes it as "5.8S ribosomal RNA". It matches the Rfam family "5.8S ribosomal RNA", at positions 4 to 135 of the family's 154-position model. From Rfam's summary of the family: 5.8S ribosomal RNA (5.8S rRNA) is a component of the large subunit of the eukaryotic ribosome. Lineage: Eukaryota; Fungi; Ascomycota; Lecanoromycetes; Lecanorales; Mycoblastaceae. The record is from RNAcentral.